RNAcentral lists this ribosomal RNA (518 nucleotides) under Colletotrichum graminicola. RNAcentral's name for it is "SSU rRNA". It matches the Rfam family "Eukaryotic small subunit ribosomal RNA", at positions 34 to 552 of the family's 1831-position model. The record is from RNAcentral. Lineage: Eukaryota; Fungi; Ascomycota; Sordariomycetes; Glomerellales; Glomerellaceae.
GGGGGGAGGAGUUAGUGACCAUGCUGAUCUAAGUAUAAGCAAUUAUACAGCGAAAACUGCGAAUGGCUCAUUAUAUAAGUUAUCGUUUAUUUGAUAGUACCUUACUACUUGGAUAACCGUGGUAAUUCUAGAGCUAAUACAUGCUAAAAACCCCGACUUCGGAAGGGGUGUAUUUAUUAGAUUAAAAACCAAUGCCCUUCGGGGCUCACUGGUGAUUCAUAAUAACUUCUCGAAUCGCAUGGCCUUGCGCCGGCGAUGGUUCAUUCAAAUUUCUUCCCUAUCAACUUUCGAUGCUAGAGUAGUGUUCUAGCAUGGUUACAACGGGUAACGGAAGGUUAGGGCUCGACCCCGGAGAAGGACCUGAGAAACGGCUACUACAUCCAAGGAAGGCAGCAGGCGCGCAAAUUACCCAAUCCCGACACGGGGAGGUAGUGACGAUAAAUACUGAUACAGGGCUCUUUUGGGUCUUGUAAUUGGGAAUGAUUACAAUUUAAAUCCCUUAACGAAGAACAAUUGGA